GACGAACGCUGGCGGCGUGCCUAACACAUGCAAGUCGAACGGAAAGGCCCUGCUUUUGUGGGGUGCUCGAGUGGCGAACGGGUGAGUAACACGUGAGUAACCUGCCCUUGACUUUGGGAUAACUUCAGGAAACUGGGGCUAAUACCGGAUAGGAGCUCCUGCUGCAGGGUGGGGGUUGGAAAGUUUCGGCGGGUGGGGCUGGACUCGCGGCUUAUCAGCUUGUUGGUGGGGUAGUGGCUUACCAAGGCUUUGACGGGUAGCCGGCCUGAGAGGGUGACCGCGCACAAUGGUACUGCGAGACGGCCCAGACUCCUACGUGAGGCAGCGGUGGAGAAUAUUGCACAGUGGGCGCACGCGUGAUGCGGCGACGCCGCGUGCGGGAAGCCGUCUUUCGUGUUGUGAACCGCUGUCGCCUGUUACGAAGCGUUAGUGACGUUAAUGGGUGAAUAAGCACCGGCUAACUACGUG
This 468-nucleotide ribosomal RNA is filed under the name uncultured bacterium. RNAcentral describes it as "partial 16S ribosomal RNA". It matches the Rfam family "Bacterial small subunit ribosomal RNA", at positions 28 to 507 of the family's 1533-position model. The record is from RNAcentral.